This 6522-nucleotide long non-coding RNA is filed under the name Lactuca sativa (garden lettuce). RNAcentral describes it as "long non-coding RNA (LSAT_LNC000810)". Lineage: Eukaryota; Viridiplantae; Streptophyta; Magnoliopsida; Asterales; Asteraceae. The record is from RNAcentral.
UUCAUUACAAGGUCGUAUGUGAAAGGUUUAAAUUUUCGAAAGAUUUAGGAGAUAAACUAGUAUUGGAUGUUUUUCCUCAGAUUUGUUGUUCUUAUGAGCUUCAGAUCUAAUGGUUUUAAUCGGAUCUAUUGUGAUUGAAACCCCUCUUUUCAUUUCUGAUAUGGGUUUAUUUGUUACUUUCCGUUUGGGUGAACAAACCUCUUUUCACUUUUUGAACCAACCGGAGAUUAAGCAAGGUUUCAAUCAUCAAGACAAUUUGUUAGGAUGGACUUUUGAGAGAAGAGGUUAUAUAUGAUUUAUUAAUAUAUUAUAAGUUAUAAUAUACUAAUAUGAAAUCAUAUGUUUUAAUUAGUAUUGAUCAAGAACUAAUUUAGUGAUCAAAACAGACUAAUUAAAUCAAUGGGGACUAAUUAUGAUAAUUAGUUAUAUUUAUAUGUGUUGGGCUUAUGAUCCAUGUUGGACCAAGUUUAUGUAUGGAUACAUAAAAAGUUGGGCCACAUGAACCAUGGAUCAUAAAACCCAUGGGUAUGGAUUAUGGGUUAUACCCAUGACCCUUGGAAUCCUACAUAUAAAUAGGUUACUACUUAGCCAAAAUCAUCACUUCUUUUCUUAGAGAAAUAUGGAGGUGUUUUGGUGCAUGAAAUUCUCUCUCAAGAGCCACCUUUGUCCUAGGUGUGUUGUGAUUCCUUUUGAGGCAUUUCAUACUAUUGGUGCUAAGCUCUUAAGGCCAAAUACAUCAAGACUUCAAGCCACAUAAAAGGUAUGUUACCCUAACUAGUAUAUUAUAUGGUUUAUGUCAAAUGCAUGCUAGUUAUAGGUUUAAUGCCUUGGAAACCAUUUGCAUGUAUAAUUAGUGAAAACAUAAAUCCAAGGUAUUUAGGGUUGUAUGUGCACCAUAAGAUGUUGUAUUCUACCAAAACCCAACAUAUUUUCCUUGCACUCUCAACCAUGAUUUGUUACACACUUAAUACAUUUCGAGACACUUUGUUGUUUUUCUUGCGAUUCCUGAGAUAUUGAAAAACGUCAUUUUUAGAAUUGGUACUUUAAGCUUUCUCUUUUCAUUGACAUAUUUCCUCUCUUAGUUUUUUCUUUUAUUAACAACUUCCACAUUUCACGCUACAAUUAUUUCCUGAUCUAAUUUUUCUGCAUGUUUUACUUAUAACUCAUAUUCCGACGGGAGGCCGUUUGCAAAAUGGGUAACCUUCAUAUGAUCGGUGAGGUAAGCGUCUUCCAUGAAAGGAAGCAUCUUCACAAACCUCUUAAACUAUUCAACAAUUAUCAUGUUACCUUUCUUCAAUACAUCUAAUUCUUCCUGUAGAUUCUAUAUAUCUCUAGAAGGACAGAUCUUGUUCUUAAUUCUUUCAACAAAUUCUUCCAAGAUCAAUUAUGAAGGGUAUUUCUUCCUAAAACUCUAUAUAACACAUCCCACCAGGCUGCAAUAUCAUCUUUAAGCACUCGAGAGGCAUAAAUAACAAUAUCAUUCUUUUUACGCUUGCAGCUAUCAAACACUUUCUAAAUUUCAUAGAUCCAGCACAUAGUAACUUCUGGUUCAAAGCUGAAGUGGUACUCCUAUUGCUUGCAACCCAUAAAGUACUUGAAAGUACAUCCUCUUCUCAUAUCUUCUUUUGAUUUAGAAUACUCACAUCCCUAACAUGAGAAGAUCCUUCUUCACUAAUAGAUUUACUCCUUUCAGGUGGAGAGGGACCUUGUUGGGAUCCUUUCAAACAAAUAUUAAGAAUAGGAUUCACAUCUCCCUUAACUUUAUCCCUCCUGCUAUCAAGAAGAGCCAAUAUGGCUUAAACUGUAAGAGGUGGUUGACUUCCUUCACCCCUCGUAACUUCUAGAUCUACUUUCUUGUGUGUACUUUCGUACGUAGACCCCUUAUUUGACCCAUGACUAGCCUCUUAGGGCAUUUUCCAUUCCUUGUCCUCCUCAUUGUCUAGAAAAGAGAUCAAUUUAAUUAUUGACUAAUAGAAAAUACACAUUUCCAAGUAGUCUAAAUAAGCAUAAUAUUAGUGACACUCAUAUUAUGAAACUCUAUGGUAAUAGUUGAAGUCUAGAAUAGUUAAUUCAUCCUAAUUCACUUAAAUAAUGGUCCUGAUACCAAAUUAUAACACCCAUAUUUCUAAAUUAAUUAAAACAUAUAAAACUUCCAUUUAAAAAAAAAAACUUCAGACGGUUUGAAGUAUAACAUUUCCAAAAGUAAUAGUGGGGUAGUUUUAAUGUGUAGGAAAAUUUUAAUGUCGUUCUUUCCGAUGAAGAACCAAAGCAGAUUGAAAAUACCUAAAAUAAAAUACAUGAGUCUCCUCCUUUUGAUACUUUAAUAUAUGAUUUUGUCCAAUUUACUUCUCCACAAAAUGAACAAACUCAUAUGUUAUAUUAUAGUCUUCAUAGUGAGGAUGGUAAAGGAAAUGUUGAUUUGGAUAAUGAGUGCCCAUUCAAGAAGGGUUAAAAUAUACACUCCCUGAAGUUGAGGAUGACGCAAUGGCUUUGAUAUAGAGUUCGAAUUGUGGAUUUGAAGGGAGAAAUUAUUUGAUUAUUUAUGAACAUAGGUCUUUAUUUGACUUUUUGGGUGUUGACAAUGAUGAAGCUAACAAUGAUCCAUUAAAAAAUGCGGUAAACUAAUAUAUUUUUUUUUUCAUACUUUCAUUGUCAUUUGUAUCACAAUAAGCUUACACAAACAUUUGCUUUGCCUGCUUUUAGUGUUGAUGAAUGAGAUAAUGAGGCAUACAAAAUUGUAGAUGAAGAUAUUGAAACUCUCAGGUUCAAGAUGUAAACAAUGUUACCUCACACACUGAGCAAAAUGAAGAGGAACUGAUGUAAUCAUGUCAUGUGAAGCCAAAUAUUGAUCCAAGCAGCUAAAGUGAUCAUAAUUGUUGUGUUUGAUGUUUUUUGUGUAUAUGAUUUGAAUGAUGAUUUGAUGACAACUUUGAAAGAUAAUCAAGAUUGAUUAUAAAAUGAAGAAAUUAUCAAAAACAUUGAAAGACUGCUUUGAGACUCUCUAUGGACAAAUUUUGGAAAGUAAAAAAGCAUUAUGCAAAUUUAGAAAAGAAAUGAAUAAUGAAAAUGUUGAAUUGAAGAAACAAGUUAAGGAUUUAUAAUUGAUAGAGAUAAGACGUUGGAGCUUAUGCAUAACACGUUUAAAAAUACAGGUUUAAUUAAACCUCAGUUUAUUUUAGCAGCAUGUAGACUUUACAAAACAAACAGUUUUUUUUCUUGUAGACUACAAAAGUUUGGUCUACCUCUUAUUUUGUAAAUAUUAUGUAAAUAUGGUCCAAUAAAUGCAAACCUAUUAGCUCUUGAAAACCAAGCAACACCUAAAUCCAUUUAUAACAAAACUAUUGGAAAAUAAAUCAUUAAGUGGCUUAAUAUGUGUACUUAUCCCAUGGUCUACAAAUCAUGGAUUAAUUUAAUGAGAAAAUGAGAGCUUUUUUAAAAUUAAAUUUCAAGCACAUAUUUACAAUGAUAAAAUCUAUCAUUAACAAAAAAGCAGUGACGAAUCCAGAAUUCAAACUCACAUGUGUCCAAAAUGAACGACGUAUCAAAAUAAACAACUUAUAAAAUUUUGGUGAUCGGGUCGGGUUGUCAAUAAUCAACUUAAUGCAACUGUAAUAUAACAAUGAACCGAAUAAAAAACAACUAACAUCAUAUACAAACUAAAUCAAUAAAAUAUUUACAUUUUAAAACUAUUUAAAAUUUUUUAUUUUAACUAUUUUACUCCAAACUAAAUAAUUAAAUCUAAAAUCAUAUAACAUAAGGUUUGUUGAUUAAUCAAAAUUUAGAAUAUUUUGUUGCAUAUAUGUCUAGUUAAUUACGAAAAGUGUUGCACUACAUUUUAGUUUCUAGACUUUGACCAAUAGGUAAUAGGCUAUAGCAACAAUUGGUUUAUUUUACCCUGAAGGCAUUAAAUGACUAAAUACUAAAAGAGAGAGAAAAUGNAAUUUUAUAAAUUCAAUAAGAAAAAGUGAGAAAACAGAGCAAAAACUAAACAGCCGUUGCUGCUCCGUUGUUGCUGUAGAUCUCAAGCAAAGCUUCACAUCUCCGACGUUGCUUCUUAUCUCCAGCGUCGCUUUGCCGCUCCCCUCUGAUUUACCCAAUUGGUCAAUAGGAAAAAGCCCACUUCAAAAUAUAGAGUAUCGGCGUUUUUUCCUUUACAUACGAACUCUUCUAGGUUUAAAAAGAAAACAAAGAAAAACACUCUACCCAAUAAACAACAGCCAAUAGAUACUCGAUUUUUACUUUAUUAAUAUACUCUCUUACUUUCUGUUUUACUACUCGUGUUCAUUUUAUUCAUAUUAUUGUUGAAUUUAUAAUCGUUUUAUAUAGGAAUACAUAUUACACUAACGGCUUAUGCAUAUUUUUGCUAAAAUAAUUUAUAAACAAUUAGUUGAUGAUGGUACUAUUAUUCUAAAAUAAUAGCGAUUUGUUUUGUAUAUGAAGUAUGUAUAUUUUUCAAUACAUAUAGUUUAUAAAAAUAUAUCUUUGAAAAUAUUUAUGAAUUUUAUUAUAUAGAAAAUGGUUUUCAAUUUAAUAAAUGUUUUUUUUUUUUAAUUUAAAACAUGCUGUCCUAUAAACUUUUGUCAAAUUUGUCAACAAUCCCAAGUCCCCCAAACAUCUUUGUGAAAUUUGUCAAUAACUCAAAUAUCUUUAAAAAAAAACUCAUUAGUAACAUUCUUUACAAAACUAAUAUAAAGUAAGCAUGGCAUUCGUUAAUAUUAAAAAUUAAAAUUAUUUGGUUGAAUGAAUUAAGUUUUUCAUUUCACUCGUAUCAGUCAAAUCCAUGAUGUAUAAUUCCAAUUUAUUUAAUAGAUUCUAUUAUUUUAAAAAUAAUCAGAAAACGCACAUAAAUAUCAACCUCAUUUAAAAAAUAAUUAAUAUAAUCUUUAUAAAAAACAAAAGACGAAAAUUAUAACAUUUUAAUUAACUCGAUCUUGAUUUCGGCCCCUCCGGUUAUAAUGGCCGUGUUCCGCCCCUGGACCAAUAGGUAAUAGGCUAUAACAACAAUUGGUUUAUUUUACUCGGAGACAUUAAAUGAUUAAAUACUAAAAGAGAGAGAAAAUGAGAGUGUGAGAAUAAGACCUCAAAAUAAAAGACACGGGAGGAGGAAGCCGUCUCCGAUCCAAUGAAAUGGAAAAACUGAUCAGGUGUAGGAGAUGUGUACCAAGUUGCAGGAUGAUAUUGAGCACCGAGGUGGUGCCGACAAAGAAAUCAGAGCGGAUAUUGGUUUAGCAAUAACGUGGGUGACGCAAAAAAAUUAUUUUUUGUUUAAUUAGGGUUUCAUCUUUUUUCUUCAAGAUUGGCUUCUCAAUUUUCUUAUAUUGACAAAUUUGGAAUUAUUAUAAAUAGAUUAUGAUAUGUAUAGAAAGAUUUUAUUUUUGUUAAAUACCUUCUAACCUCCCUAUUUUUAAUCAUAAAAAAAUCACGCUUAUAGAAAAUUUCUCUUUAAAAAUCCCAAAAAUUGUUAUAAAUCAUCUCUUUCUUUGUGUUGAUAGUUGCCAUAGGUGUCCAUGAACACCCUUUGGCAUGAUCUACCAUAUAAUUUAUAAAAAAUUACCAAAUUAAGGGGUGUCAAGUUCGUGACAUCAUAUGUGUCCAUCUCAGAUCUACUAUAUAAUCUAUAAAAAAUUACCAAAUCAAGGGGUGUUCAUGAAUACCCUUUAAAACACGUAGCUUCGCCUUUGCAUAAAAGAGCUUCUUUAAAAGUUAUUAAGUAUAUAUAUGAACGAAAACAAUUUGGCAUGCUCAAAUUAUUUGGGAUCUUAGUUUGGGGUUACAUUUGUCCAAAAUUAUAUAAAAAUUUUACUGUAAGUAGACUUAAAAUGUAAUAUUUAAAGACUUCUAGACCACUUAGAUUGAUUUUGAAAAGAUUUAAGGGCUAACUGUGACUUCAAAAUCUCAUAUACUUAUUUGCAAUAACAUAGGGACUUGUGUGAAAUAUUUAUACUACUUUGAGUAAUAUUUAAAGGCUACGAUGUACGAUGUCUUACCGUCAGAUCUAUAGUGUUAAGAAAAGAAAGGCCGACGGCAAACCUAGUACUAGAUGCUUUUCAUCAGAUCUACUGUACCUGUGACCUUCCGAUCUAAUGGUUUUUCACAGUUACUUGAUUGAGGUAUCUAUAUUUAAACACUUUAAUUGGUUCUAUUUUCUGUGUAAACCUAGUAUAUAUAGAAGGUUUUCAUUACAGGGUCGUAUGUGAAAGGUGUACAUUUUCGAAAGAUUUAGGAGAUAAACUAGUAUCGGAUGCUUUUCCUCAGAUCUGUUGUUCUUAUGAGCUUCAGAUCUAAUGGUUUUAAUCAGAUCUAAUGUGAUUGAAAACCCCCUUUUCAUUUCUGAUCUGGGUUUAUUUGUUACUUUCCGUUUGGGUGAACAAACCCCUUUUCACUUUUUGAAUUCGGAUAAACCGGAAAUUAAGCAGGGUUUUAAUUCUCACCCGGGUUUAUAUGGCCACAAUCUGCCUACUUUUCUUUCGUUGAUUACCAGCUUUCUUUCAAUUAAGCUCACGGGUGAAAUCGAUAAUUGUU